This 254-nucleotide ribosomal RNA is filed under the name uncultured bacterium. RNAcentral describes it as "partial 16S ribosomal RNA". It matches the Rfam family "Bacterial small subunit ribosomal RNA", at positions 524 to 776 of the family's 1533-position model. The record is from RNAcentral.
UACGGGGGGAGCAAGCGUUGUUCGGAUUUACUGGGCGUAAAGGGCGCGUAGGCGGCCACCGCAAGUCAGUUGUGAAAUCUCUGGGCUUAACCCAGAAAGGUCAACUGAUACUGCGGGGCUAGAGUGCAGAAGGGGCAACUGGAAUUCUCGGUGUAGCGGUGAAAUGCGUAGAUAUCGAGAGGAGCACCUGCGGCGAAGGCGGGUUGCUGGGCUGACACUGACGCUGAGGCGCGAAAGCGUGGGGAGCAAACAGG